RNAcentral lists this transfer RNA (68 nucleotides) under Marmota monax (woodchuck). RNAcentral's name for it is "tRNA.Ala". The stretch from base 5 to 65 matches the Rfam family "tRNA", at positions 6 to 65 of the family's 71-position model. Rfam says of the family: Transfer RNA (tRNA) molecules are approximately 80 nucleotides in length. Their secondary structure includes four short double-helical elements and three loops (D, anti-codon, and T loops). The record is from RNAcentral. Lineage: Eukaryota; Metazoa; Chordata; Mammalia; Rodentia; Sciuridae.
GGAUUGUGGCUCAGUGGUAGAGCGCUUGCCUAGCAUGCAUGAGGCACUGGGUUCAAUCCUCAGCACCA